This 492-nucleotide ribosomal RNA is filed under the name uncultured bacterium. Its description in RNAcentral is "partial 16S ribosomal RNA". It matches the Rfam family "Bacterial small subunit ribosomal RNA", at positions 29 to 507 of the family's 1533-position model. The record is from RNAcentral.
AGUGAACGCUGGCGGUAGGCCUAACACAUGCAAGUCGAACGGCAGCACAGUAAGAGCUUGCUCUUACGGGUGGCGAGUGGCGGACGGGUGAGGAAUACAUCGGAAUCUACUUUUUCGUGGGGGAUAACGUAGGGAAACUUACGCUAAUACCGCAUACGACCUACGGGUGAAAGCAGGGGAUCUUCGGACCUUGCGCGAUUGAAUGAGCCGAUGUCGGACUAGCUAGUUGGCGGGGUAAAGGCCCACCAAGGCGACGAUCCGUAGCUGGUCUGAGAGGAUGAUCAGCCACACUGGAACUGAGACACGGUCCAGACUCCUACGGGAGGCAGCAGUGGGGAAUAUUGGACAAUGGGCGCAAGCCUGAUCCAGCCAUACCGCGUGGGUGUAGAAGGCCUUCGGGUUGUAAAGCCCUUUUGUUGGGAAAGAAAAGCAGCAGGUUAAUACCCCGCUGUUCUGACGGUACCCAAAGAAUAAGCACCGGCUAACUUCGUG